RNAcentral lists this ribosomal RNA (509 nucleotides) under uncultured bacterium. RNAcentral's name for it is "bacterial SSU rRNA". It matches the Rfam family "Bacterial small subunit ribosomal RNA", at positions 28 to 526 of the family's 1533-position model. The record is from RNAcentral.
GAUGAACGCUAGCUACAGGCUUAACACAUGCAAGUCGAGGGGCAUCAGAGAUAUAGCAAUAUAUUUGCUGGCGACCGGCGCACGGGUGAGUAACACGUAUCCAAUCUGUCCUUUACUCGGGUAUAGGCUCUUGAAAGAGAGAUUAAUCCCCGAUGGUAUAUAUAUCUCGCAUGAGUUAUAUAUUAAAGGUUUAUUCCGGUAAUGGGUGAGGAUGCGUUCCAUUAGAUUGUAGGUGAGGUAACGGCUCACCUAGUCUUCGAUGGAUAGGGGUUCUGAGAGGAAGGUCCCCCACACUGGAACUGAGACACGGUCCAGACUCCUACGGGAGGCAGCAGUGAGGAAUAUUGGUCAAUGGGCGCAAGCCUGAACCAGCCAAGUAGCGUGAAGGAUGACUGCCCUAUGGGUUGUAAACUUCUUUUAUAAAGGAAUAGUAGUAAAUACGUGUAUUUAUUUGAAUGUACUUUAUGAAUAAGCAUCGGCUAACUCCGUGCCAGCCGCCGCCGUAAUAC